RNAcentral lists this ribosomal RNA (540 nucleotides) under Mycobacterium sp. 41(2013). RNAcentral's name for it is "bacterial SSU rRNA". It matches the Rfam family "Bacterial small subunit ribosomal RNA", at positions 84 to 636 of the family's 1533-position model. The record is from RNAcentral. Lineage: Bacteria; Bacillati; Actinomycetota; Actinomycetes; Mycobacteriales; Mycobacteriaceae.
GGGGUACUCGAGUGGCGAACGGGUGAGUAACACGUGGGUGAUCUGCCCUGCACUUUGGGAUAAGCCUGGGAAACUGGGUCUAAUACCGAAUACACCCUGCUGGCCGCAUGGUCUGGUGGGGGAAAGCUUUUGCGGUGUGGGAUGGGCCCGCGGCCUAUCAGCUUGUUGGUGAGGUUACGGCUCACCAAGGCGACGACGGGUAGCCGGCCUGAGAGGGUGACCGGCCACACUGGGACUGAGAUACGGCCCAGACUCCUACGGGAGGCAGCAGUGGGGAAUAUUGCACAAUGGGCGCAAGCCUGAUGCAGCGACGCCGCGUGGGGGAUGACGGCCUUCGGGUUGUAAACCUCUUUCAGUAGGGACGAAGCGCAAGUGACGGUACCUACAGAAGAAGGACCGGCCAACUACGUGCCAGCAGCCGCGGUAAUACGUAGGGUCCGAGCGUUGUCCGGAAUUACUGGGCGUAAAGAGCUCGUAGGUGGUUUGUCGCGUUGUUCGUGAAAACCGGGGGCUUAACCCUCGGCGUGCGGGCGAUACGGG